AGAUGGCGACCGGCGCACGGGUGAGUAACACGUAUCCAACCUGCCGAUAACUCGGGGAUAGCCUUUCGAAAGAAAGAUUAAUACCCGAUGGCAUAAUAGAACCGCAUGGUUUGAUUAUUAAAGAAUUUCGGUUAUCGAUGGGGAUGUGUUCCAUUAGGCAGUUGGUGGGGUAACGGCCCACCAAACCUUCGAUGGAUAGGGGUUCUGAGAGGAAGGUCCCCCACAUUGGAACUGAGACACGGUCCAA
Molecule: ribosomal RNA, 247 nt
Filed under: uncultured bacterium
Lineage: Bacteria
Description: partial 16S ribosomal RNA
Rfam family: Bacterial small subunit ribosomal RNA
Source: RNAcentral